UAGUACCUGUGAAGAUGCAGGUUACCCGCGACAGGACGGAAAGACCCCGUGGAGCUUUACUGUAGACUGAUAUUGAAAUUCGGCACAGCUUGUACAGGAUAGGAAGGAGCCUUUGAAACGUGAGCGCUAGCUUACGUGGAGGCGCUGGUGGGAUACUACCCUAGCUGUGUUGGCUUUCUAACCCGCACCACUUAUCGUGGUGGGAGACAGUGUCAGGCGGGCAGUUAGACUGGGGCGGUAGCCUCCUAAAAGGUAUCGGUGGCGCUCAAAGGUUCCCUCUGAAUGGUUGGAAAUCAUUCUUAG
Molecule: ribosomal RNA, 303 nt
Filed under: Staphylococcus aureus
Lineage: Bacteria; Bacillati; Bacillota; Bacilli; Caryophanales; Staphylococcaceae
Description: partial 23S ribosomal RNA
Rfam family: Bacterial large subunit ribosomal RNA
Source: RNAcentral